Molecule: ribosomal RNA, 419 nt
Filed under: uncultured microorganism
Description: bacterial SSU rRNA
Rfam family: Bacterial small subunit ribosomal RNA
Source: RNAcentral
GAGUUUGAUCUUGGCUCAGAUUGAACGCUGGCGGCAUGCCUUACACAUGCAAGUCGAACGGCAGCAUGAUCUAGCUUGCUAGAUUGAUGGCGAGUGGCGAACGGGUGAGUAAUACAUCGGAACGUGCCCUGUAGUGGGGGAUAACUAGUCGAAAGAUUAGCUAAUACCGCAUACGACCUGAGGGUGAAAGUGGGGGACCGCAAGGCCUCAUGCUAUAGGAGCGGCCGAUGUCUGAUUAGCUAGUUGGUGGGGUAAAGGCCCACCAAGGCGACGAUCAGUAGCUGGUCUGAGAGGACGAUCAGCCACACUGGGACUGAGACACGGCCCAGACUCCUACGGGAGGCAGCAGUGGGGAAUUUUGGACAAUGGGCGAAAGCCUGAUCCAGCAAUGCCGCGUGUGUGAGAAGGCCUCGGUGUAA